AGAAUCAACGCUGGCGGCGUGCCUAACACAUGCAAGUCGAACGCGAAAGGGGCUUCGGCCCUGAGUAGAGUGGCGAACGGGUGAGUAACACGUGGGUGAUCUACCUUCGAGUGGGGGAUAACGUCCCGAAAGGGACGCUAAUACCGCAUGACGUUCUGGGUUUGAAGACCUGGAAACCAAAGCUGGGGACCGCAAGGCCUGGCGCUAGAAGAGGAGCCCGCGCCUGAUUAGCUAGUUGGUGGGGUAACGGCUCACCAAGGCAACGAUCAGCA
This 272-nucleotide ribosomal RNA is filed under the name uncultured bacterium. RNAcentral's name for it is "partial small subunit ribosomal RNA". It matches the Rfam family "Bacterial small subunit ribosomal RNA", at positions 26 to 285 of the family's 1533-position model. The record is from RNAcentral.